Molecule: unclassified non-coding RNA, 304 nt
Filed under: plant metagenome
Description: partial contains 5.8S ribosomal RNA, internal transcribed spacer 2, and large subunit ribosomal RNA
Rfam family: 5.8S ribosomal RNA (bases 1-105)
Source: RNAcentral
GAAAUGCGAUAAGUAAUGUGAAUUGCAGAAUUCAGUGAAUCAUCGAAUCUUUGAACGCACAUUGCGCCCGCCAGUAUUCUGGCGGGCAUGCCUGUUCGAGCGUCAUUUCAACCAUCAAGCCCCCCGGCUUGUGUUGGGGACCUGCGGCUGCCGCAGGCCCUGAAAAGCAGUGGCGGGCUCGCUGUCACACCGAGCGUAGUAGCAUACAUCUCGCUCUGGGCGUGCUGCGGGUUCCGGCCGUUAAACCACCUUCGUAACCCAAGGUUGACCUCGAAUCAGGUAGGAAUACCCGCUGAACUUAAGC